GCUAUAAUAGCAAAGAUAGUUAAUGCCGUAGACUUAGGAUCUACUACCAUAGGUGCAAAUCCUUUUUCUAGCU
This 73-nucleotide transfer RNA is filed under the name Phyrella fragilis. RNAcentral describes it as "tRNA-Leu". It matches the Rfam family "tRNA". Rfam says of the family: Transfer RNA (tRNA) molecules are approximately 80 nucleotides in length. Lineage: Eukaryota; Metazoa; Echinodermata; Holothuroidea; Dendrochirotida; Phyllophoridae. The record is from RNAcentral.